Molecule: ribosomal RNA, 534 nt
Filed under: Vishniacozyma victoriae
Lineage: Eukaryota; Fungi; Basidiomycota; Tremellomycetes; Tremellales; Bulleribasidiaceae
Description: partial large subunit ribosomal RNA
Rfam family: Eukaryotic large subunit ribosomal RNA
Source: RNAcentral
GGCGUCUUUCAGGCGUCCGAGUUGUAAUCUAUAGAGGCGUUUUCCGCGCCGGACCGCGUCCAAGUCUCUUGGAAUAGAGUAUCAAAGAGGGUGACAAUCCCGUACUUGACGCGACAACCGGUGCUCUGUGAUACGUUCUCAAUGAGUCGAGUUGUUUGGGAAUGCAGCUCUAAAUGGGUGGUAAAUUCCAUCUAAGGCUAAAUAUUGGCGAGAGACCGAUAGCGAACAAGUACCGUGAGGGAAAGAUGAAAAGCACUUUGGAAAGAGAGUUAAACAGCACGUGAAAUUGUUAAAAGGGAAACGAUUGAAGUCAGUCGUGUGAAAGGUAUUCAGCCGUCUCUGGCGGUGUAUUUGCCUUUCACGGGUCAACAUCAGUUUGAUCCGGUAGAAAAAGGCGGGAGGAAGGUGGCACCCUCGGGUGUGUUAUAGCCUCCUGUCAUAUGUGCCGGACCAGACUGAGGAACGCAGCUUGCCGCAAGGCCGGGGUUCGCCCACGUACAAGCUUAGGAUGUUGACAUAAUGGCUUUAAACGAC